GAAUUUUAUAUAAAUAAAGUUAUUUAAAUAAGUUUGAUAAAUAAUUUUAGGUAUAUUUAAUUGGGAGGAUUGUUAAAUUAAAUAAACUUUAAUUAAAUUUAAAAUAUUAAUUAAUAGAUUUAAGAAUGGUUAAUAAAUUAAAUAAGAAUUAAUUACCUUAGGGAUAACAGCGUAAUAUUUUUAGAGAGUUCAUAUUAAUAAAAAUGUUUGC
RNAcentral lists this ribosomal RNA (211 nucleotides) under Crematogaster brasiliensis. RNAcentral describes it as "partial large subunit ribosomal RNA". Lineage: Eukaryota; Metazoa; Arthropoda; Insecta; Hymenoptera; Formicidae. The record is from RNAcentral.